GCGGCCGUGAUGGAACUGGCAGUCAUGCUGGGUUUAGGUCCCAGUGGGGGUUUCCCCCGUGUGGGUUCGAGUCCCACCGGCCGCA
This 85-nucleotide transfer RNA is filed under the name Streptomyces radiopugnans. It matches the Rfam family "tRNA". From Rfam's summary of the family: Transfer RNA (tRNA) molecules are approximately 80 nucleotides in length. Their secondary structure includes four short double-helical elements and three loops (D, anti-codon, and T loops). The record is from Rfam by way of RNAcentral. Lineage: Bacteria; Bacillati; Actinomycetota; Actinomycetes; Kitasatosporales; Streptomycetaceae.